Helianthus annuus (common sunflower) is the source of this 4186-nucleotide long non-coding RNA. RefSeq lists it as uncharacterized. NCBI's taxonomy places the organism in Eukaryota, Viridiplantae, Streptophyta, Magnoliopsida, Asterales, Asteraceae. The record is from RefSeq and is a predicted model, not a curated record. The transcript has 6 exons.
CUCGUUAGGUUUUUAUGAAGCUCGAGCUCGAACUCGGCUCGGUUCGAGCCUACUUCUUUGAGCUCGAGCUCGGCUCGUGAGUAAAACCCAAAGCUCGAGCUCGAGCUCGGCUCGAUCCGGCUCGAACUAUUUUGAGAACAACCUUAAACGAGCUAAAAGCUCGGCUCGAGCUCACUUCAACAUCGCUUAAACGAGCCAAAGCUCGGCUUAUCAAUGUUAACAUCAUUAUUAAUAUAAUAUUUAUAAAAAAAAUUAAAAUUUUGUAUGGGCUCGUUUAGGCUCGCGAGCCUAAACAAGCUUUGUAUUUCAGGUUCGAGCUCGGGCUCGAUAACAAAACGAGCUCUAUUUCAGGCUCGAGCUCGGGUUCGAGCUCGUUAAGGCUCGGCUCGUUCGAGCUUUUAACCGAGCCGAUCACGAGUAGCUCUCGAGCCUCUGGGCUUGUUUACACCCCUAGUAGACAUACAUAUGUAUAAUUUUAGUUUAAAAUAUAUUUAUUAGUUUGAAAUUGUCAGACUUUGCUAUACCAUAAUUUUUAAUCAAUUAGGACACAAAUAUUCAUUUUGUUUUUUUGUUUUAGGAAUAAAAUAUGACAAGUAUUCAUAGAAUCCCAACGGUUCAAAAAUCAAAAGUGUUAUUUUUUUAAACAUAAUUGAAUGAAUUAGUUUCAAACAUUCAAGUACGAUUCCCUCAUAAAUUUUCACAUGCAUUGUCAAACAAUGGGUCAUAUCACCUCUUUUGAUAACAAAGUGGAGAUGGACCAUGUGGCUUUCGGUUUCAUUUCAUAAAGGCUAAAGCAGCCACACAUGGACCCUAAAAGCUCCAACUACAAAGUUCAAACAAGAAUUAGAUAAGGUUUGAAAUGGGCCAGACAUACAAAUUGGGCCUCUUGCAAAUUACUUAUACUAAAAAGAGAACACUUACGCUUUUUAUUGGAGACCAAUAUCCAAUAUUACUAAAGCCUUUUACAAAUUUUUGAUGAGUGAUACCUUGGGCUUCUUGUUGUGGCAUCACAACCUUAUAAUCAUCUACAACAACAAAAUGAUUGUGACUAAGGGGAUGAGCGUGAAAUGUAAUCCCGAUCAUUACCUUAGUUUAUAAUCGUUAAAGGGUCAAUAUUGUAAUUAUAUAUAUAUAUAUGGAACCCAUUAAGUGGAAGUUACCUUUGAAAUCAAUAUCACCCGUUCGAUCAUGCUGAGAUUAAAUCUCAGCCCUUUAAACUCCCAAAGAUAAUUGCUCUAAUGGCGGUUCAGGGAGGUUAUGGGAGUUUUCCUCCUAGUGGUUUUGCUCCAAAAUUUUCUGCCCAUUAUCUCCAUGACUCAACCUUGGUAGUUCUUUACGGUUUCUCUAGCCGGUGGUUAGGUCCAUCUUUUCCUGCCCAUGAUCUUCUCAACUCACUCCUACAAUCCUGGUAAACUGUCAACCGCCCACUAUAUUUUAGGGUUUGAAGAGGUUAAAUGUAGAUGGACUACUGCGGUUGGGGCAAGAAGGAAAUACGAAGUAGAGUUCUCCUGGAUUCCUUCAAUUGACGAUGGUUCCCCCAUGCUCUCCUAAUUGCAGGUCAGCCAAUUUGUGCUUCUCACCCACCUAUAAAUCUAUCGUCCCAUCUCCAAACAAAAAAAGCGAAUGAAGAAAGUAGAUACGAACUACGAUUGACGGAGUGAGCAGGGGUCGAUAUAAUUGAUCUAGGGUUCCAGCCACAAGUUAAGGUAAUAAGUUCUUAGUCUCAAAUCGAAUUUUUUUAAAUCAAAUUUUUUUAUAUGAUCUAGGGUGUUGUAGCGGCGAAGAGAGGAGGCCUGAUGACGUUAAGGAAGCUUUGAAAUCGAGAAGAGUGGGGAAAAUUUUCAGUUUCAUCUUCAAUUGACACCUUGUAUGUCCAUCAUCAAUUGGCACACAUCUACCAAUGAUAUGCUUGGUAGAUGUUGCUAUUAUUAAGGUUGGAUUAGGAGGAAAGAGGGAUGCACCUAAUGUGGUAUCCAAGUUUAAUAAAGGAAAAUUCAUAAUUCUACAUACAAAGAAGGUGUCUAAUAUGAUCCACAUUUUUUCCCGGAUCACGCUACUAGGGUAUGACCACACAUAAAUCCUUGGUAAUACUUUGAAUAAAUUGCGGGACAGAAUGCUAAGGUGCCUUUUCAAGCGUCAGAACUUGCUUUCAUAUUAAGCUAUAUGGGGCAUCAAAGAACCGGUCACUUUGAAGUGAAAUCGUAGAUCUGACUAUAAGCAUGGUAAAAGGGAAACAGGUGGAUCAAACAGGCACUUCUUUUAGUUUGGGUUCACAAAAUGGAUGGGUCAGGCGGGUAAUCUGAUAAAAACGAUUUUCCCUUUCCGACCAGUUGACGAAAGUUGUUAUCCAGUGUUUUACAAUAUCUUUUGGAUGAAUUUGUAUCUAUAAAUAAUUCUGAUUCUACUCUUUGUGUUAACUGGUCUGUUGGGUUAAUCUUGAUGUUACGGACUGUGUACGGGUCAAGUCGGUUACCAGUUUUGUUUAAAUGGGUCACCGAAUAGAAAACGGGUCAUGGGUCGACAUCUUAUCGGUACGGGUGAUAGGUACAGUUCAUCUAUUGAUAAAAUGACUCGGUCUCGGUUGACUAGGAAAGUAGGAGCUGAACAUGGAGUUUGUGAAACACGUUUGAUAGGUGAACGUUGCAAGUUUGUUGCAUUAGGAAGAUGUGGACUGAGUUUUUUGCAUGUGCUUAUUUAGUUUAUUAUAAAUACGAGUAUUUGUUCUUUUGUUAUGUACCCCAUUUUUCAUAUUCGAGUACAGAAGCUUUCACUUUUGCAUUGUAUUUCUUUUUCACUUGCAUUACAUACUACAUAUACGAGAGUUGAGUGUGGUGCCUGAAACCAACAUGGUCACCCUAAUUUGCUAAUGGUGGGUCUCUCCAACACAUGAAUGACCCUGGGUUGUCAGUUUGUUUUAUGGUGAGGAGCAUUCUUUACACUUUAAAUGGUGGUAUGUGAUUCGAGUCAUACAGUGCCACUAUGCAAAAUGGUUGCUUCUCCCUUCCUGAUAACUGAUUGGGUUCUUAAUCAUUUGUAGGUACUAUUUUUGAAUCUCAGCAUUGACAUAUUUUUAAAGAUGACAAAAUGGAUGGGUCAAGUAACGGGUUAACACCGCUACAUUAUUGGCCAAUUUUCAAGUGGAUCAAGUUUAAUGCAGUUCAAAAGGCUUCGGGUUUGUUACCUAUGCAGGGCUAAAGCAUUGAAUGGCCAAGAUGGGUAGAGAUAAAGGAUUGAACGGUUACAUUGGGUGGCUAAAAACGUUACUCGGCUUCUUUUAGUGGACUCCACUUUACUAGAGUAAAUCUCAAAGCUUCUUCAUCUAGAUUACCAUUGCAGCUUGAAACUACGUUAUCGUUUGAUCGUUGUUGUAUACUCGGUUAUAAAGAUUGCAGUGUAUAACUGAAUACCGAGAGCGAGAAGAUUCAGAGGCGUCCUGAUUCAGUGUGUUCACGAGUUGGUUACGGCAUCAAUGAGAUGUUGAACUCUUUGCUGGUUGUGGUGAUCAGUCCAUCCAUAGAGUUUUUGAUGAUUCUAGUAUGAGUCAUUAUAUAGCCAAUAUGGUUGGCAAUAGCGCUUCCGAAACAUAUAACUUGUAUGUGAAGUGCUUAAAGCUCAUGGUGUUGACCAAACUAAAAGGCAUUGUGGUCAAUACCUCUGGAAUAGAUAAGAAAUAACAAAAAGAUUACUUGGUAUUUUAGUCUUUUGCUAUUAUGCUAACUUUUUACAUUAAUGUAGGUGCUCUUAUAAAUUUUGUAUAAUAGCUUUAACACAAGAGGUAAUUCUUGGUACGUAUAGUGGCCAACUACAUGAAAUUGUUUUUGGUGAGGAAGAUAAAAGGGAGAAAUACAUUGAUUCUUUGUAAUACGUUAGAAAUAGUAGUUUACCAAUUGCCGCCCAAAGAAAGGAUAUUGUUUUAUUUAUUUAUUUUUAAAUCAAAUGGGUAUUUGGCUAAACCUAAUACUUGGUGUUUUAAGAAGAAUGUUCCCCUCGGAAAACACAUGCCCUAUACGAUGGUCCUCUCCGCCCACCCAGGCGGGCCCCUGAGUAUGGCUUUGUAUAUGCUAUUACCAAGUUGGUCCUUUUUAUUUAUGAUCUUUACGUAAUAUAAUUUGUCAAAUGAUGACACUAAAUUGUACAAUCUUUCGUAGUGAACUUAUGUUAAUGAGUUGUACUUUGAGCAUUAACA